GACGAACGCUGGCGGCGUGCUUAACACAUGCAAGUCGAACGAGAUCCAAUGUGUAGCAAUACACAGGAAGAUCUAGUGGCGAACGGGUGAGGAACACGUGAGAAACGUACCCCAGACUUUGGGAUAACAGUCCGAAAGGACUGCUAAUACCAAAUAACGUCGGAAGUCCGCAUGGACAUCUGACGAAAGGGAUUCCGGUUUGGGAGCGUCUCGCGGACCUAUCAGCUAGUUGGAGGGGUAACGGCCCACCAAGGCAACGACGGGUAGCUGGUCUGAGAGGAUGGUCAGCCACACUGGGACUGAGACACGGCCCAGACUCCUACGGGAGGCAGCAGUGGGGAAUCUUGCGCAAUGGGCGAAAGCCUGACGCAGCAACGCCGCGUGCGGGAAGAAGGCUUUCGGGCUGUAAACCGCUUUCAGUAGGAACGAAACUGACGGUACCUACAGAAGAAGAAGCGGCCAACUAUGUG
This 470-nucleotide ribosomal RNA is filed under the name uncultured bacterium. Its description in RNAcentral is "partial 16S ribosomal RNA". It matches the Rfam family "Bacterial small subunit ribosomal RNA", at positions 28 to 507 of the family's 1533-position model. The record is from RNAcentral.